RNAcentral lists this ribosomal RNA (450 nucleotides) under uncultured bacterium. RNAcentral's name for it is "partial 16S ribosomal RNA". It matches the Rfam family "Bacterial small subunit ribosomal RNA", at positions 338 to 795 of the family's 1533-position model. The record is from RNAcentral.
CCUACGGGUGGCUGCAGUGAGGAAUCUUGCGCAAUGGGGGCAACCCUGACGCAGCAACGCCGCGUGAGUGAGGAAGGUCUUCGGAUCGUAAAGCUCUGUCGGAUGGAAAGAACCGCAUAGGGGCAAACAGCCCCUGUGUCUGACGGUACCGUCAAAGGAAGCACCGGCUAACUCCGUGCCAGCAGCCGCGGUAAUACGGGGGGUGCAAGCGUUGUUCGGAAUUAUGGGGCGUACAGAGCGUGUAGGCGGCGAAAGCCCUGGGCUUAACCCAGGAAGUGCAUUUGAAACUGUCCGGCUCGAGUAGGGGAGAGGGAAGUGGAAUUCCUGGUGUAGAGGUGAAAUUCGUAGAUAUCAGGAGGAACACCGGUGGCGAAGGCGACUUCCUGGCCCUAUACUGACGCUGAGACGCGAGAGCGUGGGUAGCAAACAGGAUUAGAUACCCGUGUAGUC